GACAGAGGUGCCGAGCGUUAGGCGGAAUCACUGGGCUUAAAGCGUGUGUAGGCGGGUCGUUAAGUGUCUUGUGAAAUCCCACCGCUCACCGGUGGAACGGCUGGGCAUACUGGCGACCUUGAGAGGCCUAGGGGCAGACGGAACAAGCGGUGGAGCGGUGAAAUGCGUAGAUAUCGCUUGGAACGCCGACGGCGAAAGCAGUCUGCUGGGGGCCUUCUGACGCUGAGACACGAAAGCCAGGGGAGCGAGCGGG
Molecule: ribosomal RNA, 253 nt
Filed under: uncultured bacterium
Lineage: Bacteria
Description: partial 16S ribosomal RNA
Rfam family: Bacterial small subunit ribosomal RNA
Source: RNAcentral